Haliotis rubra (blacklip abalone) is the source of this 168-nucleotide small nuclear RNA. RefSeq annotates it as U1 spliceosomal RNA. The record is from RefSeq and is a predicted model, not a curated record. Lineage: Eukaryota; Metazoa; Mollusca; Gastropoda; Lepetellida; Haliotidae. The transcript has a single exon.
AUACUCUACCUGGCAUAGCCAGGCUACAGAAAGUGAUCCGGCACGUGUGGGUCUGGCGAGACCUUCCAUUGCACAUCGGUUUUGGUUGAUCCCCGCGAUCGUCCCAAAUGGACGAGGACUCGGUGCGCAAUUUAUAAGGUGGGACUGCGUCUUCCGCGCUCUCCCUUU